Long non-coding RNA from Sceloporus undulatus (fence lizard), 1778 nucleotides. RefSeq lists it as uncharacterized. The record is from RefSeq and is a predicted model, not a curated record. The transcript has 4 exons. Lineage: Eukaryota; Metazoa; Chordata; Lepidosauria; Squamata; Phrynosomatidae.
GGUUGAGGAGCCGUCACGUGACUCCUCAACGACGACGGUGACGCUCUGACGUAAGCGUCACGCAGCCAAGGCCGACCCACGAAGGUGGCUUCUGCGCAUGCUCGAUAUACUCUUCUAAUAAAGCGCCUCGUGGGGAGAGGACGAGCCUCUUAAAGCCGAAACACGCUCGAGAUGCCCUUACAAUAAAGCGCCUCAUAGGAGAGGACUGGAGGCUCUUAUGGCCGACCAAUGCUUCUGCGCAUGCUCGAGGUGUCCUUAUAAUAAAGAGAGGCGGGAUUAGCCAGCUUCUAGCAAGAGUAUUGUGGCGCAGUGGUUUGAGUGCUGGGCUACGACUCUGGAGACCUGGGUGCGAUUCCCAGCUCUGGACAUUCUCUCAGCCUCAAUGGGAAGGCAGUGGCAAAACCCCUCGGAACAAAUCUUGACAAGAAAGACCCAUAAGUUGCCAAUGACUUCAAACCACACAACACCAAAAGGCGGAAGGGGCAUUUAUUAGGGGGAGUCAGAGAAUCUGAAGCUAAGCAGGGUCAGCCCUGGUUGGUACUUGGAUGGGAGGCCGCCAACAAACUCCCCCAGGUGCUGUAGGUUAUGUUUCAGAGGAAGGAACUGGCAAAAGCAACUCUUGAGGGACUUUUUUGUCAUCCUCAUGUCAAGCAGUACCUCCUGAAAUCUCUUUUGCACGACCAUCUGGGAGCCCUAGUGUGCAGUGAUUUAAUUCCUCCUCAUUCAGAUCCCAGCUUGAAAGCUAAGCUGGUUCAGCCGUGGUUAGUACUUGGAUGGUAAACUGCCAACACAUAUUGAGUGCUGUGAGCUAUAUUUCAGAGGAAGGAACUGGCAAAAACGCCUCUUGAGUACAGUAUUCUUUGCCUAAGAAAAUGCUAUGAAAUUCAUGGGGUCACCGUAAUUUAAGAGCAGGCUUGAAGGUGUGUGCAUGCGCUCACUCAUGCUCAGCUCAGGGGAAGGAGCUCAUGCCAGAAGAAUAGAAAUGGUUGGGUUGGAAGGAGCCACAAAGACUAUCAUCUACUCCAACCCCCUGCAAUGCAAGAAAUUGUUUUUACAGAUGUCUUUACCCCAAGGAUGAGGAUUUUUUUUGGCUUCCAGUUGUUUCCAAUGAGGUGAAAUCUCACUUUUCCCGGUCAAUGAUGAAGGCAUGUGGGAGUUGUAGUCCAAAAUGUCUGGAGGGCCAGAUGUCCUCAGCCAGUGCCAGAACCAAGUAGCAGAUCUUAGUGUACUUGGACUUCCAGGCAAUCUUCCCAAAUAUGUACCUGUGAGGGUGGAGGGAUAGAGCCAAGAGCCACCCCAGAAGAUCUCAAAACACAAGCAGACUCAUAUGGGACAACACAGCCCUUCAAAUAACCUGAACCCAAGCCAUAGCAUCUGGAGGGCUGCAUAGUUCCUAUCCCUGCCCCAAUUAAGCAAAGCACAAUAACACAGAUGAAAUGUCUUUGCAGAGGGAGAACAUCGUGGCACACCAGGGACUGGUGAGGAAGAGGAAGUGCCAAAACUCAUCCAAACAGGACUCAAGCCUCCCUCCUUUGAGAGAAGACAACUUUGCUUCUACCGGAGAACCUGCGGCAAAGAUAGCUCCCUGCAUCUCCUGUCAGAGAAGUCUUUGCUGUCAAAAUGUAGUCUCUACAAUGGUAGCCUUGCUUUUCUAGGUGAAGAGUCCCAGUGUGAUUGCUUUCUGGGAUAAAACUUGCUGCUACUCCUGAUAAUUCAGCAGUCUAAAUUCAGUUACAAUGUUACAUGCUGACACUCUGCUGACACUUUCCGCCAAUAAA